UCGAGGAUCUUCGGCAAUGGGCGCAAGCCUGACCGAGCGACGCCGCGUGUGCGAUGAAGGCCUUCGGGUUGUAAAGCACUGUCGAGGGGGAGUAAGACCCGCAAGGGUUUGAACUAUCCCUGGAGGAAGCACGGGCUAAGUUCGUGCCAGCAGCCGCGGUAAGACGAACCGUGCGAACGUUGUUCGGAAUCACUGGGCUUAAAGGGCGCGUAGGCGGGUGUGCAAGUCUGUGGUGAAAGCCCCCAGCUUAACUGGGGAAGUGCCGUGGAUACUGCACAUCUUGAGGAGGGUAGGGGCAUCUGGAACGGUCGGUGGAGCGGUGAAAUGCGUUGAUAUCGACCGGAACUCCGGUGGCGAAGGCGAGGUGCUGGACCCUUUCUGACGCUGAGGCGCGAAAGCCAGGGGAGCAAACGGGAUUAGAUACCCCCGUAGUCC
RNAcentral lists this ribosomal RNA (435 nucleotides) under uncultured bacterium. RNAcentral describes it as "bacterial SSU rRNA". It matches the Rfam family "Bacterial small subunit ribosomal RNA", at positions 355 to 796 of the family's 1533-position model. The record is from RNAcentral.